Molecule: ribosomal RNA, 490 nt
Filed under: uncultured bacterium
Lineage: Bacteria
Description: partial 16S ribosomal RNA
Rfam family: Bacterial small subunit ribosomal RNA
Source: RNAcentral
AUUGAACGCUGGCGGCAGGCUUAACACAUGCAAGUCGAGCGGUAGCACAAGAGAGCUUGCUCUCUGGGUGACGAGCGGCGGACGGGUGAGUAAUGUCUGGGAAACUGCCUGAUGGAGGGGGAUAACUACUGGAAACGGUAGCUAAUACCGCAUAACGUCGCAAGACCAAAGAGGGGGACCUUCGGGCCUCUUGCCAUCAGAUGUGCCCAGAUGGGAUUAGCUGGUAGGUGGGGUAAUGGCUCACCUAGGCGACGAUCCCUAGCUGGUCUGAGAGGAUGACCAGCCACACUGGAACUGAGACACGGUCCAGACUCCUACGGGAGGCAGCAGUGGGGAAUAUUGCACAAUGGGCGCAAGCCUGAUGCAGCCAUGCCGCGUGUGUGAAGAAGGCCUUCGGGUUGUAAAGCACUUUCAGCGAGGAGGAAGGUGGUGAACUUAAUACGUUCAUCAAUUGACGUUACUCGCAGAAGAAGCACCGGCUAACUCCGUG